RNAcentral lists this ribosomal RNA (305 nucleotides) under uncultured bacterium. Its description in RNAcentral is "bacterial SSU rRNA". It matches the Rfam family "Bacterial small subunit ribosomal RNA", at positions 337 to 640 of the family's 1533-position model. The record is from RNAcentral.
UCCUACGGGACGCAGCAGUGAGGAAUAUUGGUCAAUGGCCGAAAGGCUGAACCAGCCAAACCGCGUGAAGGAAUAAGGCCCAACGGGUCGUAAACUUCUUUAGUCAGGGAACAAAGGCAGCCACUCGUGGCGCUGUGAGUGUACCUGAAGAAUAAGCAUCGGCUAACUCCGUGCCAGCAGCCGCGGUAAUACGGAGGAUGCGAGCGUUAUCCGGAUUUAUUGGGUUUAAAGGGUGCGUAGGCGGUUUGUUAAGUCAGCGGUAAAAAUUCCGGGCUCAACCCGGUCGCGCCGUUGAAACUGGCGGG